AGAGUUUGAUCAUGGCUCAGAUUGAACGCUGGCGGCAGGCUUAACACAUGCAAGUCGAGCGGAAACGAUGAAAAGCUUGCUUUUCAGGCGUCGAGCGGCGGACGGGUGAGUAAUGCUUGGGAAUAUGCCUUAUGGUGGGGGACAACAGUUGGAAACGACUGCUAAUACCGCAUAACGUCUACGGACCAAAGGGGGGGAUCUUCGGACCUCUCGCCAUUUGAUUAGCCCAAGUGAGAUUAGCUAGUUGGUAAGGUAAUGGCUUACCAAGGCGACGAUCUCUAGCUGGUUUGAGAGGAUGAUCAGCCACACUGGGACUGAGACACGGCCCAGACUCCUACGGGAGGCAGCAGUGGGGAAUAUUGCACAAUGGGCGAAAGCCUGAUGCAGCCAUGCCGCGUGUGUGAAGAAGGCCUUCGGGUUGUAAAGCACUUUCAGUAAGGAGGAAAGGGGUGUAGUUAAUAACUGCAUCCUGUGACGUUACUUACAGAAGAAGCACCGGCUAACUUCGUGCCAGCAGCCGCGGUAAU
This 527-nucleotide ribosomal RNA is filed under the name uncultured bacterium. Its description in RNAcentral is "bacterial SSU rRNA". It matches the Rfam family "Bacterial small subunit ribosomal RNA", at positions 8 to 524 of the family's 1533-position model. The record is from RNAcentral.